Molecule: ribosomal RNA, 252 nt
Filed under: uncultured bacterium
Lineage: Bacteria
Description: partial 16S ribosomal RNA
Rfam family: Bacterial small subunit ribosomal RNA
Source: RNAcentral
UACAGAGGGUGCAAGCGUUGUUCGGAAUUAUUGGGCGUAAAGCGCGUGUAGGCGGCUUUGCAAGUUGGGUGUGAAAUCCCUCGGCUCAACCGAGGAAGUGCGCCCAAAACUGCAUGGCUUGAGUCUCGGAGAGGAUGGCGGAAUUCCCCAAGUAGAGGUGAAAUUCGUAGAUAUGGGGAGGAACACCGGUGGCGAAGGCGGCCAUCUGGACGAAGACUGACGCUGAGACGCGAAAGCGUGGGGAGCAAACAG